ACAUUCCACGUUUUCCGCGCCGUAGCUAACGCAUUAAGUGCCCCGCCUGGGGAGUACGGCCGCAAGGCUAAAACUCAAAGAAAUUGACGGGGGCCCGCACAAGCGGCGGAGCAUGCGGAUUAAUUCGAUGCAACGCGAAGAACCUUACCAAGGCUUGACAUAUACUAGACCGCCUCAGAGAUGGGGUUUCCCUUCGGGGCUGGUAUACAGGUGGUGCAUGGUUGUCGUCAGCUCGUGUCGUGAGAUGUUGGGUUAAGUCCCGCAACGAGCGCAACCCUCGUUCUAUGUUGCCAGCACGUAAUGGUGGGGACUCAUAGGAGACUGCCGGGGUUAACUCGGAGGAAGGUGGGGAUGACGUCAAAUCAUCAUGCCCCUUAUGUCUUGGGCUUCACGCAUGCUACAAUGGCCGGUACAAAGGGUUGCGAUACUGUGAGGUUGAGCUAAUCCCAAAAAGCCGGUCUCAGUUCGGAUUGGGGUCUGCAACUCGACCCCAUGAAGUCGGAGUCGCUAGUAAUCGCAGAUCAGCAACGCUGCGGUGAAUACGUUCCCGGGCCUUGUACACACCGCCCGUCAAGUCACGAAAGUUGGUAACACCCGAAGCCGAUGGCCUAACCCCUUGUGGGAGGGAGUCGUCGAAGGUGGGAUUGGCGAUUGGGACUAAG
RNAcentral lists this ribosomal RNA (662 nucleotides) under Rothia endophytica. RNAcentral's name for it is "bacterial SSU rRNA". It matches the Rfam family "Bacterial small subunit ribosomal RNA", at positions 829 to 1485 of the family's 1533-position model. The record is from RNAcentral. Lineage: Bacteria; Bacillati; Actinomycetota; Actinomycetes; Micrococcales; Micrococcaceae.